This 446-nucleotide ribosomal RNA is filed under the name uncultured bacterium. RNAcentral describes it as "bacterial SSU rRNA". It matches the Rfam family "Bacterial small subunit ribosomal RNA", at positions 330 to 793 of the family's 1533-position model. The record is from RNAcentral.
CCCAGACUCCUACGGGAGGCAGCAGUGGGGAAUAUUGCACAAUGGGGGAAACCCUGAUGUAGCGACGCCGCGUGAGUGAAGAAGUAUUUCGGUAUGUAAAGCUCUAUCAGCAGGGAAGAUAAUGACGGUACCUGACUAAGAAGCCCCGGCUAACUACGUGCCAGCAGCCGCGGUAAUACGUAGGGGGCAAGCGUUAUCCGGAUUUACUGGGUGUAAAGGGGGCGCAGACGGCAAUGCAAGCCAGGAGUGAAAGCCCGGGGCCCAACCCCGGGACUGCUCUUGGAACUGCAUGGCUGGAGUACAGGAGGGGCAGGCGGAAUUCCUAGUGUAGCGGUGAAAUGCGUAGAUAUUAGGAGGAACACCGGUGGCGAAGGCGGCUUACUGGACCAUAACUGACGUUGAGGCUCGAAAGCGUGGGGAGCGAACAGGAUUAGAUACCCUCGUAC